Molecule: ribosomal RNA, 490 nt
Filed under: uncultured bacterium
Lineage: Bacteria
Description: bacterial SSU rRNA
Rfam family: Bacterial small subunit ribosomal RNA
Source: RNAcentral
GAUGAACGCUAGCGACAGGCCUAACACAUGCAAGUCAGGGGCAGCACAUGAGUAGCAAUACGAUGGUGGCGACCGGCGCACGGGUGAGUAACACGUAUGCAACCUGCCUGUAAGAGGGGAAUAACCCGGAGAAAUUACGGACUAAUACCGCAUAAUACCACGAGACUGCAUGGUUUUGUGGUUAAACAUUUAUGGCUUACAGAUGGGCAUGCGUAUGAUUAGAUAGGUUGGUAGGGUAACGGCCUACCAAGUCUACGAUCGAUUAGGGGUUCUGAGAGGAAGGUCCCCCACACUGGUACUGAGACACGGACCAGACUCCUACGGGAGGCAGCAGUGAGGAAUAUUGGUCAAUGGGCGAGAGCCUGAACCAGCCAAGUCGCGUGAAGGAAGAAGGUUCUAUGGAUUGUAAACUUCUUUUGCGAGGGGAAUAAAGGACGGUACGUGUACUGUUUUGUAUGUACCUUGCGAAUAAGGAUCGGCUAACUCCGUG